GAUGGGGUGAGUAAACGCGUCAUGCAACCAUGACCUCUGACAGGGGAAAUAGCCCUGGAGCAAAUUCGGAUUUAAUGCGUACAUGGUUGCAAUUUCAUGGCAUCGUUUGAUUGAUAAAGAUUUAUCGGUAAUAGAUGGGCAUGCGUAUCAUCAGCUCGUAGGUGUGGUAACGGCAUACCAAGGCUACGAUGAUUAGCGGUCCUGAGAGGGAGAUCCCCCACACUGGUACUGAGACACGGACCAGAAUACUACGGGAGGCAGCAGUGAGGAAUAUUGGUCAAUGGAGGCAACUCUGAACCAGCCAUGCCGCGUGCAGGAUGACGGUCCUAUGGAUUGUAAACUGCUUUUGUACGGGAAGAAAUGUAAUCACGUGUAAUUAUUUGACGGUACCGUAAGAAUAAGGAUCGGCUAUCUCCGUGCCAGCAGCCGCGGUAAUACGGAGGAUCCGAGCGUUAUCCGGAAUUAUUGGGUUUAAAGGGUUCGUAGGCGGUUGAGUAAGUCAGUGGUGAAAUCUUAUAGCUUAACUAUAAAAUUGCCGUUGAUACUGCUUGACUUGAAUAGUAUGGAAGUAAUUAGAAUAUGUAGUGUAGCGGUGAAAUGCUUAGAUAUUACAUGGAAUACCAAUUGCGAAGGCAGGAUUCUACGACUUAUUGACGCU
This 658-nucleotide ribosomal RNA is filed under the name Myroides sp. Its description in RNAcentral is "bacterial SSU rRNA". It matches the Rfam family "Bacterial small subunit ribosomal RNA", at positions 100 to 747 of the family's 1533-position model. Lineage: Bacteria; Pseudomonadati; Bacteroidota; Flavobacteriia; Flavobacteriales; Flavobacteriaceae. The record is from RNAcentral.